UUCUCUAGAGAGAAGCGCUAAGGUGGGC
This 28-nucleotide non-coding RNA is filed under the name Rattus norvegicus (Norway rat). Lineage: Eukaryota; Metazoa; Chordata; Mammalia; Rodentia; Muridae. The record is from RNAcentral.